AUUGAACGCUGGCGGCAGGCCUAACACAUGCAAGUCGAGCGAGCGGCGGACGGGUGAGUAAUGUAUGGGGACUGCCCGAUAGAGGGGGAUAACUACUGGAAACGGUAGCUAAUACCGCAUACUAUCGGAUAACCCAUAUGGGAUUAGCUAGUAGGUGAGGUAAUGGCUCACCUAGGCGACGAUCCCUAGCUGGUCUGAGAGGAGUAUCAGCCACACUGGGGUGGAGACACGGCCCAGACUCCUACGGAGGCAGCAGGGGGGAAUCGUGCACAAGGGGAGGAAGCCUGAUGCAGACAUGCCGCGUGUAUGAAGAAGGCCAUAGGGUUGGAAAGUACUUUCAGUCGGGAGGCGUUACCGACAGAAGAAGCACCGGCUAACUCCGUGCCAGCAGCCGCGGUAAUUC
Molecule: ribosomal RNA, 403 nt
Filed under: uncultured bacterium
Lineage: Bacteria
Description: partial 16S ribosomal RNA
Rfam family: Bacterial small subunit ribosomal RNA
Source: RNAcentral